Molecule: long non-coding RNA, 318 nt
Filed under: Lathyrus oleraceus (garden pea)
Lineage: Eukaryota; Viridiplantae; Streptophyta; Magnoliopsida; Fabales; Fabaceae
Description: Pisum sativum (pea) long non-coding RNA (PSAT_LNC012442)
Source: RNAcentral
GAUAAUAACUUUCAAAAUCAUAUAAAGCUCUUGAUUAAAUGAAAAAAAAAUCUAAUUUGAUUCUUCACUAGAUAGAAAAAGAAAAUAAAACCAAUUUACUACAUAAGACAGGAAAAUUAAGCAAACCACAGUGGAAGGAGACAGAUUGCUAUCAACAGUUAAGAAAAGAGUUGGCGAGCUAAAAUAAUCAAGCUAUCAAAGUUACACAAACCAUAUCAACGAACAAACAUUAACAGCAAAUACCCUUUAUAAGAGGAGAGGAUUCCCUCCUACAGCAAGAUAUCACCGAAUAGACAGCCUGGGCAAACAACCACGCAC